AACGAACGCUGGCGGCAUGCCUAACACAUGCAAGUCGAACGAGACCUUCGGGUCUAGUGGCGCACGGGUGCGUAACGCGUGAGAACCUGCCCUUAGGGUCGGAAUAACUCCCCGAAAGGGGUGCUAACACCGGAUAAUGUCUUCGGACCAAAGAUUUUUUGCCUUUGGAUGGGCACGCGUUGGAUUAGCUAGUUGGUAGGGUAAAAGCCUACCAAGGCGACGAUCCAUAGCUGGUCUGGGAGGAUGAUCAGCCACACUGGGACUGAGACACGGCCCAGACUCCUACGGGAGGCAGCAGUGGGGAAUAUUGGACAAUGGGCGAAAGCCUGAUCCAGCAAUGCCGCGUGAGUGAUGAAGGCCUUAGGGUUGUAAAGCUCUUUUACCCGGGAUGAUAAUGACAGUACCGGGAGAAUAAGCUCCGGCUAACUCCGUG
RNAcentral lists this ribosomal RNA (433 nucleotides) under uncultured bacterium. Its description in RNAcentral is "partial 16S ribosomal RNA". It matches the Rfam family "Bacterial small subunit ribosomal RNA", at positions 29 to 507 of the family's 1533-position model. The record is from RNAcentral.